RNAcentral lists this ribosomal RNA (253 nucleotides) under uncultured bacterium. RNAcentral describes it as "partial 16S ribosomal RNA". It matches the Rfam family "Bacterial small subunit ribosomal RNA", at positions 524 to 776 of the family's 1533-position model. The record is from RNAcentral.
UACGUAGGGUGCAAGCGUUGUCCGGAAUUAUUGGGCGUAAAGAGCUCGUAGGCGGUCUGUCGCGUCGGCUGUGAAAACCCGAGGCUCAACCUCGGGCCUGCAGUCGAUACGGGCAAACUGGAGUGUUGCAGGGGAGACCGGAAUUCCUGGUGUAGCGGUGGAAUGCGCAGAUAUCAGGAGGAACACCGGUGGCGAAGGCGGGUCGCUGGGCCAUUCCUGACGCUGAGACGCGAAAGCUAGGGGAGCGAACAGG